AGAGUUUGAUCCUGGCUCAGGAUUAACGCUGGCGGCGUGCCUAACACAUGCAAGUCGAACGGACUUUUAUCUUUGAGAGCUCCUUUAUGGGCGUUCUCAUAAAUAUUAGUUAGUGGCGAACGGGUGAGUAACACGUUGGUACCUGCCCUCUAGUGGGGAAUAAUUCGCCGAAAGGCGGACUAAUACCGCAUGUGAUCUACGGAUCAAAGCAGCAAUGCGCUAGAGGAGGGGCCUGCGGCUGAUUAGCUUGUUGGUAGGGUAAUGGCCUACCAAGGCGACGAUCAGUAGCUGGAUCGAGAGGUUGACCAGCCACACUGGGACUGAGAUACGGCCCAGACUCCUACGGGAGGCAGCAGUGAGGAAUUUUCCACAAUGGACGAAAGUCUGAUGGAGCAACGCCGCGUGCAGGAUGACGGCCUUAGGGUUG
This 427-nucleotide ribosomal RNA is filed under the name uncultured bacterium. Its description in RNAcentral is "partial 16S ribosomal RNA gene". It matches the Rfam family "Bacterial small subunit ribosomal RNA", at positions 8 to 425 of the family's 1533-position model. The record is from RNAcentral.